RNAcentral lists this ribosomal RNA (254 nucleotides) under uncultured bacterium. Its description in RNAcentral is "partial 16S ribosomal RNA". It matches the Rfam family "Bacterial small subunit ribosomal RNA", at positions 524 to 776 of the family's 1533-position model. The record is from RNAcentral.
UACGAGUGCCCCAAGCGUUAUCCGGAAUUAUUGGGCGUAAAGGGUGUGUAGGUUGUCUUGUUAGUCUUCUGUGAAAGGUUUCCGGCCCAACCGGAGAAACGCAGGGGAAACGGCAAGACUGGAGGAUGCGAGAGGUCUAUAGAACUCAUGGUGUAGGGGUGAAAUCCGUUGAUAUCAUGGGGAAUACCAAAUGCGAAGGCAGUAGACUGGCGCACUCCUGACACUGAAACACGAAAGCGUGGGUAGCGAACUGG